RNAcentral lists this ribosomal RNA (292 nucleotides) under uncultured bacterium. Its description in RNAcentral is "partial 16S ribosomal RNA". It matches the Rfam family "Bacterial small subunit ribosomal RNA", at positions 505 to 796 of the family's 1533-position model. The record is from RNAcentral.
GUGCCAGCCGCCGCGGUAAGACGAACCGUGCGAAUGUUGUUCGGAAUCACUGGGCUUAAAGGGCGCGUAGGCGGGCUGUCAAGUCUGGGGUGAAAUGCCGCGGCUCAACCGUGGAACUGCCUUAGAUACUGACGGCCUCGAGGAAGGUAGGGGCAUGCGGAACUGUAGGUGGAGCGGUGAAAUGCGUUGAUAUCUACAGGAACUCCGGUGGCGAAAGCGGCGUGCUGGACCUUUUCUGACGCUGAGGCGCGAAAGCUAGGGGAGCAAACGGGAUUAGAAACCCUUGUAGUCC